UACAAUGAUGAUUUUCUUAAAUUAAUAACUUUCGUUCUACCGAUAACGAUCAAACGAUCGUGGGGAAACAAUUUAUAUUCUGACA
The sequence is a small nucleolar RNA, 85 nucleotides long. It matches the Rfam family "Small nucleolar RNA snR54". From Rfam's summary of the family: snR54 is a member of the C/D class of snoRNA which contain the C (UGAUGA) and D (CUGA) box motifs. Most of the members of the box C/D family function in directing site-specific 2'-O-methylation of substrate RNAs.